CCUACGGGAGGCAGCAGUGAGGAAUAUUGGUCAAUGGGCGGGAGCCUGAACCAGCCAAGUCGCGUGAGGGAAGACGGUCCUACGGAUUGUAAACCUCUUUUGCCGGGGAGCAACGGGGUCCUUGCGAGGGCCCGAUGAGAGUACCCGGAGAAAAAGCAUCGGCUAACUCCGUGCCAGCAGCCGCGGUAAUACGGAGGAUGCGAGCGUUAUCCGGAUUUAUUGGGUUUAAAGGGUGCGUAGGCGGGCUGUUAAGUCAGCGGUCAAAUGUCGGGGCUCAACCCCGGCCUGCAGUUGAAACUGGCAGUCUUGAGUACAGUAGAGGUGGGCGGAAUUCGUGGUGUAGCGGUGAAAUGCUUAGAUAUCACGAAGAACUCCGAUUGCGAAGGCAGCUCACUGGACUGCAACUGACACUGAGGCUCGAAAGUGUGGGUAUCAAACAGGAUUAGAUACCCUUGUAGUC
Molecule: ribosomal RNA, 460 nt
Filed under: uncultured bacterium
Lineage: Bacteria
Description: partial 16S ribosomal RNA
Rfam family: Bacterial small subunit ribosomal RNA
Source: RNAcentral